This is a long non-coding RNA of Clupea harengus (Atlantic herring), 419 nucleotides long. The record is from Ensembl. Lineage: Eukaryota; Metazoa; Chordata; Actinopteri; Clupeiformes; Clupeidae.
CCCCUCUGUGUGCUUCUGUGUAACCUGAUUUGCAUAAACAUGAGUAAUUUAUGAAUAAUAAAUGCACUUGUAUUCGGCAUGAUCCGUUAAUUUGCAUAUCACCAUGGCACUACAGUUAUUUUUCCUGCUUGCUGCGCUAUCAUGAAGCCAUAAGAACUCGCAUAAAGCCGAAUCAAAAAGGAGAGUUAAAAGGAGAUGCAUAAACAUGAAGAGGUGCUGCAUUAUUGAUGAGACCGGAGUCACGCUAUAGAGAUAGCCGUGUUGAAGACACAUGGACAGGCAGUCAGACAGAGAGACAGACAGGGAGGUAAAUGCUUUAUCCUGUGCCUGUGUUCUCCACUGCCACACGAGGCAGGGAGAGACGUCAUGCCCAUCGUUUACAUUUCCUUCUCUUCUGUUGCUUUUUUUCUCUCUCUCUC